AACGAACGCUGGCGGCAUGCCUAACACAUGCAAGUCGAACGCCCUCUUCGGAGGGAGUGGCGCACGGGUGCGUAACGCGUGGGAAUCUGCCCUUGGUUCGGAAUAACAGUUAGAAAUGACUGCUAAUACCGAAUGAUGUCUUCGGACCAAAGAUUUAUCGCCCAAGGAUGAGCCCGCGUCGGAUUAGCUAGUUGGUGAGGUAAAGGCUCACCAAGGCGACGAUCCGUAGCUGGUCUGAGAGGAUGAUCAGCCACACUGGGACUGAGACACGGCCCAGACUCCUACGGGAGGCAGCAGUGGGGAAUAUUGGACAAUGGGCGAAAGCCUGAUCCAGCAAUGCCGCGUGAGU
This 349-nucleotide ribosomal RNA is filed under the name uncultured bacterium. Its description in RNAcentral is "bacterial SSU rRNA". It matches the Rfam family "Bacterial small subunit ribosomal RNA", at positions 29 to 406 of the family's 1533-position model. The record is from RNAcentral.